GACGAGCCACACAAACGUUAUCCGGAUUCACUGGGUUUAAAGGGUGCGUAGGUGGGUUGGUAAGUCAGUGGUGAAAUCCCCGAGCUUAACUUGGGAACUGCCAUUGAUACUAUCAGUCUUGAAUACCGUGGAGGUCAGUGGAAUAUGUCAUGUAGCGGUGAAAUGCUUAGAUAUGACAUAGAACACCAAUUGCGAAGGCAGCUGGCUACACGAAUAUUGACACUGAGGCACGAAAGCGUGGGGAUCAAACAGG
Molecule: ribosomal RNA, 253 nt
Filed under: uncultured bacterium
Lineage: Bacteria
Description: partial 16S ribosomal RNA
Rfam family: Bacterial small subunit ribosomal RNA
Source: RNAcentral